RNAcentral lists this unclassified non-coding RNA (334 nucleotides) under soil metagenome. RNAcentral's name for it is "partial contains 5.8S ribosomal RNA, internal transcribed spacer 2, and large subunit ribosomal RNA". The stretch from base 1 to 120 matches the Rfam family "5.8S ribosomal RNA", at positions 35 to 154 of the family's 154-position model. The record is from RNAcentral.
GAUGAAGAACGCAGCGAAAUGCGAUAAGUAAUGUGAAUUGCAGAAUUCAGUGAAUAAUCGAAUCUUUGAACGCACAUUGCGCCCGCCAGUAUUCUGGCGGGCAUGCCUGUUCGAGCGUCAUUUCAACCAUCAAGCCCUGCUUGCGUUGGGGUCCUGCGGCUGCCCGCAGGCCCUGAAAACCAGUGGCGGGCUCGCUAGUCACACCGAGCGCAGUAAUACAUCUCGCUUUGGGCGUGCGGCGGGUUCUUGCCGUUAAACACCCCCUUUUUACCAAGGUUGACCUCGGAUCAGGUAGGAAUACCCGCUGAACUUAAGCAUAUCAAUAAGCGGAGGA